GGGUUGUGAGGUUAAGCGACUAAGCGUACACGGUGGAUGCCCUGGCAGUCAGAGGCGAUGAAGGGCGUGCUAAUCUGCGAUAAGCGCCGGUAAGGUGAUAUGAACCGUUAUAACCGGCGAUACCCGAAUGGGGAAACCCAGUGUGAUUCGUCACACUAUCAUUAACUGAAUCCAUAGGUUAAUGAGGCGAACCGGGGGAACUGAAACAUCUAAGUACCCCGAGGAAAAGAAAUCAACCGAGAUUCCCCCAGUAGCGGCGAGCGAACGGGGAGGAGCCCAGAGCCUGAAUCAGCAUGUGUGUUAGUGGAAGCGUCUGGAAAGGCGCGCGAUACAGGGUGACAGCCCCGUACACAAAAGCGCAUGUGCUGUGAGCUCGAUGAGUAGGGCGGGACACGUGGUAUCCUGUCUGAAUAUGGGGGGACCAUCCUCCAAGGCUAAAUACUCCUGACUGACCGAUAGUGAACCAGUACCGUGAGGGAAAGGCGAAAAGAACCCCGGCGAGGGGAGUGAAAAAGAACCUGAAACCGUGUACGUACAAGCAGUGGGAGCACAGGUUUACCUGUGUGACUGCGUACCUUUUGUAUAAUGGGUCAGCGACUUAUAUUCUGUAGCAAGGUUAACCGAAUAGGGGAGCCGUAGGGAAACCGAGUCUUAACCGGGCGUUAAGUUGCAGGGUAUAGACCCGAAACCCGGUGAUCUAGCCAUGGGCAGGUUGAAGGUUGGGUAACACUAACUGGAGGACCGAACCGACUAAUGUUGAAAAAUUAGCGGAUGACCUGUGGCUGGGGGUGAAAGGCCAAUCAAACCGGGAGAUAGCUGGUUCUCCCCGAAAGCUAUUUAGGUAGCGCCUCGUGAAUUCAUCUCCGGGGGUAGAGCACUGUUUCGGCUAGGGGGCCAUCCCGGCUUACCAACCCGAUGCAAACUGCGAAUACCGGAGAAUGUUAUCACGGGAGACACACGGCGGGUGCUAACGUCCGUCGUGAAGAGGGAAACAACCCAGACCGCCAGCUAAGGUCCCAAAGUCAUGGUUAAGUGGGAAACGAUGUGGGAAGGCCCAGACAGCCAGGAUGUUGGCUUAGAAGCAGCCAUCAUUUAAAGAAAGCGUAAUAGCUCACUGGUCGAGUCGGCCUGCGCGGAAGAUGUAACGGGGCUAAACCAUGCACCGAAGCUGCGGCAGCGACACUGUGUGUUGUUGGGUAGGGGAGCGUUCUGUAAGCCUGUGAAGGUGUGUCGUGAGGCAUGCUGGAGGUAUCAGAAGUGCGAAUGCUGACAUAAGUAACGAUAAAGCGGGUGAAAAGCCCGCUCGCCGGAAGACCAAGGGUUCCUGUCCAACGUUAAUCGGGGCAGGGUGAGUCGACCCCUAAGGCGAGGCCGAAAGGCGUAGUCGAUGGGAAACAGGUUAAUAUUCCUGUACUUGGUGUUACUGCGAAGGGGGGACGGAGAAGGCUAUGUUGGCCGGGCGACGGUUGUCCCGGUUUAAGCGUGUAGGUGUGUGUUCCAGGUAAAUCCGGUUCACUUUAACACUGAGGCGUGAUGACGAGGCACUACGGUGCUGAAGCAACAAAUGCCCUGCUUCCAGGAAAAGCCUCUAAGCAUCAGGUAACAUCAAAUCGUACCCCAAACCGACACAGGUGGUCAGGUAGAGAAUACCAAGGCGCUUGAGAGAACUCGGGUGAAGGAACUAGGCAAAAUGGUGCCGUAACUUCGGGAGAAGGCACGCUGACACGUAGGUGAAGUGAUUUACUCAUGGAGCUGAAGUCAGUCGAAGAUACCAGCUGGCUGCAACUGUUUAUUAAAAACACAGCACUGUGCAAACACGAAAGUGGACGUAUACGGUGUGACGCCUGCCCGGUGCCGGAAGGUUAAUUGAUGGGGUCAGCGCAAGCGAAGCUCCUGAUCGAAGCCCCGGUAAACGGCGGCCGUAACUAUAACGGUCCUAAGGUAGCGAAAUUCCUUGUCGGGUAAGUUCCGACCUGCACGAAUGGCGUAAUGAUGGCCAGGCUGUCUCCACCCGAGACUCAGUGAAAUUGAACUCGCUGUGAAGAUGCAGUGUACCCGCGGCAAGACGGAAAGACCCCGUGAACCUUUACUAUAGCUUGACACUGAACAUUGAGCCUUGAUGUGUAGGAUAGGUGGGAGGCUUUGAAGCGUGGACGCCAGUCUGCGUGGAGCCGACCUUGAAAUACCACCCUUUAAUGUUUGAUGUUCUAACGUGGACCCGUAAUCCGGGUUGCGGACAGUGUCUGGUGGGUAGUUUGACUGGGGCGGUCUCCUCCUAAAGAGUAACGGAGGAGCACGAAGGUUGGCUAAUCCUGGUCGGACAUCAGGAGGUUAGUGCAAUGGCAUAAGCCAGCUUGACUGCGAGCGUGACGGCGCGAGCAGGUGCGAAAGCAGGUCAUAGUGAUCCGGUGGUUCUGAAUGGAAGGGCCAUCGCUCAACGGAUAAAAGGUACUCCGGGGAUAACAGGCUGAUACCGCCCAAGAGUUCAUAUCGACGGCGGUGUUUGGCACCUCGAUGUCGGCUCAUCACAUCCUGGGGCUGAAGUAGGUCCCAAGGGUAUGGCUGUUCGCCAUUUAAAGUGGUACGCGAGCUGGGUUUAGAACGUCGUGAGACAGUUCGGUCCCUAUCUGCCGUGGGCGCUGGAGAACUGAGGGGGGCUGCUCCUAGUACGAGAGGACCGGAGUGGACGCAUCACUGGUGUUCGGGUUGUCAUGCCAAUGGCACUGCCCGGUAGCUAAAUGCGGAAGAGAUAAGUGCUGAAAGCAUCUAAGCACGAAACUUGCCCCGAGAUGAGUUCUCCCUGAGACUUAGAGUCUCCUGAAGGAACGUUGAAGACGACGACGUUGAUAGGCCGGGUGUGUAAGCGCAGCGAUGCGUUGAGCUAACCGGUACUAAUGAACCGUGAGGCUUAACCUUACAACGCCGAAGCUGUU
RNAcentral lists this ribosomal RNA (2933 nucleotides) under Salmonella enterica subsp. enterica serovar Newport str. USDA-ARS-USMARC-1925. RNAcentral's name for it is "23S ribosomal RNA". It matches the Rfam family "Bacterial large subunit ribosomal RNA". The record is from RNAcentral. Lineage: Bacteria; Pseudomonadati; Pseudomonadota; Gammaproteobacteria; Enterobacterales; Enterobacteriaceae.